UACGUAGGUGGCAAGCGUUGUCCGGAUUUACUGGGCGUAAAGAGCGCGCAGGCGGUCGUUCAAGUCGCGUGUGAAAGCCCCCGGCUCAACUGGGGAGGGUCAUUCGAUACUGAUCGACUCGAAGGCAGGAGAGGGUAGUGGAAUUCCCGGUGUAGUGGUGAAAUUCGUAGAUAUCGAGAGGAACACCGGUGGCGAAGGCGGCCUUCUGGACAGUGACUGACGCUGAGACGCGAAAGCGUGGGGAGCAAACAGG
This 253-nucleotide ribosomal RNA is filed under the name uncultured bacterium. RNAcentral's name for it is "partial 16S ribosomal RNA". It matches the Rfam family "Bacterial small subunit ribosomal RNA", at positions 524 to 776 of the family's 1533-position model. The record is from RNAcentral.